UGGAUUCUCUUCAGUAUCAUCUUUUUGAACUCGGAUUUUACCGAGCCUGGGACCACCAGGUCAUCGACUUUGGUGAAAUUUACUUUGUCACAGUUGUGGAACCUAAGUUGUUCAGUUGCGUUUCCGUAUCUGAUUGUUCCGCUGCGCAGGUUCAAUGCCGCUCCCGCUCGCGUUAGCAAAUCGGAACCUAUAAUGGCAUCGAACGUAGCUAGAGUGUCUAACAAAAAAAAUGGGGCGUUUUGCCCGAAAAUAUUCAUUAGGCACUUGUUUUUUAUUUCACUGGAGCCAUGUAUCGAGCUCACGGUGAAGGGGGCGUCGACCGAAGUUACGUUUUUCAGCUCCUUUAUGGGCUUUACGUAAUUUUUAGCCGCACCAGUGUCGAUUAAAAUUUUUAGUGUUUUGCCAGCCAACUGUCGCUCGACGAACGGCAAUUGGGAGCGCUCACUAAAAAAAUUGAACAGGUCGUUGCCGCUAGCCGAAUCACUUUCUUCGUCAAUUUCCGCAACCGCGGCCUCGGCUAAGUUUGCAUAUUCUUGUUCCCCUUGGUUAGGGGCCUGCUGUAUUAUAUUAUUUAUCCCUUGGCGUCUUUGCCCAGAUAUACGAUCUGACGUGUUCCGCCUUUUCUGAGCUUCGCCCUGUGUGACGUCGCUCUGUGGUUUCCCCCAAUUGGUCUGUUGCCUAAACCUAGACAUCGAUGGGUCAACUUCCAUAGGCUGCACUUGGUUUUGUUGUGGGGCCUCUUUAUCGUUUGGCUUUGGCCAAGGAUCACCCUGUUGCUGCCUAUUUUGAUUACUUUUUCCCACAAAAUGUGGGUUCUUUUCCUGACCUCUACCUUGUCUGGCCUGGGCCCGAUGACCCUGUCUAUUGCCGUCGCCUGAAUGGUUUUUAUCCUCGAUCACCUUUGCAUACGUAGCGGCAAAUGCGCUUCUCUCAAUGCUAUUUUCGGCCUCGCGAGCUAGAGCUAAGGCGGAUGGAAAAUCCUUGGGCUGUGCCGGGAGAACGAACAAUUUUAGCGGCCUCUUGAGGCCCGCUAUGAAUGCGUGUAAAGCAUCAUUCCUAAUUUCCUCGUUGAGAAUGGUAGCUGCCUCCUCAUUAUGAGUCAUGAGUCUUUGUUAGUGACGAGCGUGAGCUUUCUCUCGACUUCGUCAUAAUAUUCCAUUAGAUCGGUUUCACCCUGCCUAACCAUUUCCAAGUGUUGACGUAAUACAUCCCUACGAUGUUUUGUCCGCAUAUGUGCAAUCGAGUCUAGCUAUGAUUGCAUCAAAAUUGAGCACCGUGUUGUGCGAUGUGAGCAAUGCUCGAGCUGUUCCACAGAUUUUAUUUUUUAUGAUGGCCACAGCCUCGUAGUGUGUCUGACUACCAGAGUAGUUUUUGAAAACUUCGUAUGCAUCUAGAGCAGAUUGUCUCCAAGACACAUAUUCCUCAUGAUUCCCGUUGAAAGUUGGUACUGAUUUUAUGAUAUCUAGUUUCAUUUCACAUUUUAUACUAGGGUCAAUGGUCACUCUCUUAUAAGUUUCCACCUGAGGGACACCUACAGUUAGAGCGCUCACACUAUUUCUAACUUUUUCGAGUUCCCUGCUAAAUUCUGCACUCAGUCGUCGUUCCUGUUCGACGAGGGCUGUGUUGAUUGCGCCUUCUACUAACGCUUUUAUCAUGGCUGGGUCCAUUUUAAAUUGAUUCUGCACUGUUCUGACUGGUGGCUGGUACAAUAAGUCUAGGCUCUCGUCGCUGUCGUAUUCGACCUUGUUUCUGUAGUCCCAACUCAUAAACGAUCAGCGAAGGGGAGAUCAAAAUUCUCUCACAAGCUUUAUUUUUUCCGAACAGUCACUUACAUGUUAUUUUUCUUGGGGACGUGGAUCCUAAAUCCCGUUGGGCGCCAAUUAACUUUAUGGCGUUUUUUGGUCCGAGCUGCGGUAUGCGUUGCGUUGGCUCCGGCGGCAGCGAUCGGGUUCCCGUGGCCCGCUCUUGUAGCGGGGGACGGUGGUUGCGGUUGGCAACUGAGUCUUCUACCGAAGAUUAUGUUGAGAGGGUAAUUGCCCUCUAUUUCGUUGGCCCUUAAGGCUCAACAAUAUGAUUAUAUCAAUACACGUUUUACGACUCGUGUCGGAGUUGAUAUGAACGCUCCGUUCAUUUAUUCGUC
RNAcentral lists this long non-coding RNA (2140 nucleotides) under Drosophila guanche. Lineage: Eukaryota; Metazoa; Arthropoda; Insecta; Diptera; Drosophilidae. The record is from RNAcentral.